This 504-nucleotide ribosomal RNA is filed under the name uncultured organism. Its description in RNAcentral is "SSU rRNA". It matches the Rfam family "Bacterial small subunit ribosomal RNA", at positions 1 to 509 of the family's 1533-position model. The record is from RNAcentral.
UAGGUUUGAUCCUGGCUCAGGACGAACGCUGGCGGCGUGCUUAACACAUGCAAGUCGAACGGGGAUACCGUUGGAAGUCCUUCGGGGCGGAAGAUGGUAUUCCAGUGGCGACGGGUGAGUAACGCGUGAACAAUCUGUCCCGGACAGGGGAAUAACACUUGGAAACAGGUGCUAAUACCGCAUGAGACCACGGUAUCGCAUGGUACAGGGGUAAAAGGAGGAAUCCGGUUCGGGGUGAGUUCGCGUCCGAUUAGAUAGUUGGUGAGGUAACGGCCCACCAAGUCGACGAUCGGUAGCCGACCUGAGAGGGUGAUCGGCCACAUUGGAACUGAGAGACGGUCCAAACUCCUACGGGAGGCAGCAGUGGGGAAUAUUGGGCAAUGGGCGAAAGCCUGACCCAGCAACGCCGCGUGAGCGAAGAAGGCUUUCGGGUUGUAAAGCUCUGUUAUAGGGGACGAAGGAAGUGACGGUACCCUAUAAGGAAGCCCCGGCUAACUACGUGCC